AACAAUUCAGUUUACUUACUACCUUAAUUUGCAAGCUUUGACUUCGACUAGCCAUUUCUUCCUCUAUUUAGAUCUGAUUUUAUCAAAUCUUAUACAAUAAUUGAAGUUCUUCAAGUCAGCUUUUCAAUUCUACCUUUCGAUUGUUAAAUGCCUUACUACAACUCCUUGUAUACUUGAAAGAGUGAUAAUAGGUACAAAUUUCACAUCUAGACUUUAAACACCCAUAACUCUCUCAUUUCAAACUCAAAGUUAACAACCCUUAUACAAAAAUUGUAUUCCUUCAAACUAGAUUUUCAACGACACUUUUUGUUUUCCAGAAAACCUUCUACAACUUUCUAUAUGCUUAAAAGAGUGACAGUCGGUAAACAAUUCACACCCCAACUUCAAACAACCUUAACUUCUUCAUACAAAACUCAAAUAACAAAAUUUA
This 430-nucleotide long non-coding RNA is filed under the name Physcomitrium patens. RNAcentral describes it as "long non-coding RNA (PPAT_LNC011745)". Lineage: Eukaryota; Viridiplantae; Streptophyta; Bryopsida; Funariales; Funariaceae. The record is from RNAcentral.